RNAcentral lists this ribosomal RNA (370 nucleotides) under uncultured organism. RNAcentral describes it as "bacterial SSU rRNA". It matches the Rfam family "Bacterial small subunit ribosomal RNA", at positions 526 to 896 of the family's 1533-position model. The record is from RNAcentral.
CGAGGGGAGCUAGCGUUGUUCGGAAUUACUGGGCGUAAAGGGCGUGUAGGCGGUACCAUAAGUCAGAUGUGAAAGCCCUAGGCUUAACCUAGGAGGUGCAUUUGAUACUGUGGAACUAGAGAUCGAGAGAGGUAAGUGGAAUUACGAGUGUAGAGGUGAAAUUCGUAGAUAUUCGUAAGAACACCAGUGGCGAAGGCGACUUACUGGCUCGAUACUGACGCUAAGGCGCGAAAGCGCGGGGAGCAAACAGGAUUAGAUACCCUGGUAGUCCACGCUGUAAACGAUGAGUGCUAGAUGUUGGUGAAGGAAUUCAUCAGUGUCGCAGCUAACGCAUUAAGCACUCCGCCUGGGGAGUACGGUCGCAAGAUUA